CUAGCUUGCUAGUUGGCGUCGAGUGGCGGACGGGUGAGUAACGCGUAGGAAUCUACCUAGUAGUGGGGGAUAGCCCGAAGAAAUUCGGAUUAAUACCGCAUAAUCUAUUCGUAGUAAAGUGGGGGACUUUCGAGCCUCACGCUAUUAGAUGAGCCUGCGUAAGAUUAGCUUGUUGGUAGGGUAAAAGCCUACCAAGGCUACGAUCUUUAGCUGGUCUGAGAGGAUGAUCAGCCACAUCGGGACUGAGACACGGCCCGAACUCCUACGGGAGGCAGCAGUGGGGAAUAUUGGACAAUGGGGGCAACCCUGAUCCAGCAAUACCGCGUGUGUGAAGAAGGCCUGAGGGUUGUAAAGCACUUUCAAUUGUGAAGAAAAGUUAACGGUUAAUAACCGUUAGCCUUGACGUUAACUUUAGAAGAAGCACCGGCUAACUCCGUGCCAGCAGCCGCGGUAAUACGGAGGGUGCAAGCGUUAAUCGGAAUUACUGGGCGUAAAGCGUGCGUAGGCGGUUUAUUAAGUCAGAUGUGAAAGCCCCGGGCUUAACCUGGGAACUGCAUUUGAAACUGGUAAACUAGAGUAUGGUA
This 584-nucleotide ribosomal RNA is filed under the name uncultured Gammaproteobacteria bacterium. Its description in RNAcentral is "bacterial SSU rRNA". It matches the Rfam family "Bacterial small subunit ribosomal RNA", at positions 73 to 653 of the family's 1533-position model. Lineage: Bacteria; Pseudomonadati; Pseudomonadota; Gammaproteobacteria. The record is from RNAcentral.